GUUUUUAAAAGCUUUAGUAAUGGUUAGUAUUGUUUGUUUGAGUUGGAUAGGGAGUGUUGACUGAGACGACGGCUGAACUAGCUGCUUCUCUUUCCUUGGCUGCUGCAAGAAGAAUUGUUGAAGCCGACGAAUUCAUGAGAGGUGGCUUGUACGAGGGAUGGCUUCCU
RNAcentral lists this small RNA (167 nucleotides) under Arabidopsis thaliana (thale cress). Its description in RNAcentral is "ATSL068050". The record is from RNAcentral. Lineage: Eukaryota; Viridiplantae; Streptophyta; Magnoliopsida; Brassicales; Brassicaceae.